Long non-coding RNA from Zea mays, 1957 nucleotides. RefSeq lists it as uncharacterized. The record is from RefSeq and is a predicted model, not a curated record. NCBI's taxonomy places the organism in Eukaryota, Viridiplantae, Streptophyta, Magnoliopsida, Poales, Poaceae. The transcript has 4 exons.
UUCCUGACCUGCAAUCUAUUCCUGAAGAUGGGAAACUGUUUGCAAAGAGCAGCAUAAACCCAACCCAAAAAGGGCUUCAAAUGUGUUCUUUUUUCUGAAACAGUUCUUGCCCAAUCACAAAACUUGAACCUUUUUUUUAGAUUUAGGAACAAAACUUGAACUUGGUGUCCAUUCUUCCUUGGCACAUGCAGAUUGGACCGCAGAUUGUGAGAUCCAAUCCAAUCCAAUCCAACAACCGAAUCCAAUCCAAUCCAAUCAGAGAAAAAGAAAGACGGCGAAAGGCUCGUGUCUGUGUGGCACCACAUCUUGCCAUCAGGGAAAAUGGGGCUGUCAAUCUCGUACCCACCGGACGACUACCUGCCAGCAGUGGAGGACGACAUGGGGCGGCUGUUCAUCCGGUCUCUCAGCUUCGACGACAUGGAGGCCGCCGCCGAUUCGCCUUCGUAUUCGCCUUCGGCAUUGCCCCCCGCCUUUGGCUCCAGGAAGCUGAUCAUGGAGGGCUCCCUGGGCUUCUUCGAAAGAAGAGAAGCUGACAGCGUCCAGAUGCAGAACGUGUUGUCCAUCAGGAAUCCUAAACCUCCUGAUAGAGAAGCCUGCAGCAGCGUCAGUCCCGGUGCUGCGACAACUACUUGUGGCUCAAGGAGAAGACGAUCUUUUUAAAGAUUUUCAUGUUCUUUAGCUUUUAUCCUCUACUAGGUCAUGAAAACUUGCAUAACUCCAUUGACGAAGCUAUCAUGUUGAAGGUAUUGAUCAAGAUCAUAUCAGAUAUGUACCACUUCCAUGCGCACCUGUGGUGGGAGAUCGAGAUCCAGUGUGGCCUCAACCACCCCAACGUUCCACGAUGAAGAACGAGUCGUCCUCAUCCUCGAGCACGCGGCCCUUGGCGAGAUCAAUAAGAUCCUUCACGCCACUGGCCGCUCAGUAAGGUUUUGUGUUUUCGAUUUUUUUGGACUUGUUAUGUAUUUCCUUGCACAUACAUUUAGAAAAACAUUAUAUAAGUAUUGCAAUCUACAAACCAUACCCCUCCAUGCGAGAAUCAUAUUCUUACACUGGGAAUUUCUUCUAUUAAUUUAAUCUAAUAUUUACAUGGGCAAAAUAUCACUUUCCAGUAUGGGCUUGUAGUAAACCUGACUUAGGGUGUAAAUAAAGGCUUGAAUAAGGACUAUUUUGGAAGUUCAGUGGCCAAAUUGACAUGGCUUUAUGGCCUCCAUAGCUCAUAAGCAAUGUUUACCCCUCCUAGGAAUUAGGAUAAGACAUGUAAUGCCUACAUUAUUGUCUUGGUUCAUAUUGCAUAACCAUCGGAGCAAUGAAAGCCUCACCCAUUUUUGGAUUGUCUAGAUUGGUUUGAUGCUGAAGAAGCUAUUUGAAGUGGGUGUAGUGAAGCGACGAGAUCUGUUUAUCACCUCUAAGUUGUGGUAUGCUCAAAUCUCUGGUGAUAUUCCAAUAUUUAUAUCUCAUGCAUCUCAUUUAGGAAAAACUCGUACGAAAAGCAGAUUUCAGGUGGAAUUUGGUCUUCAGUGCAUAUACACCUGCAAUUUGUUGUUUCUAUGUGAAUUUUUUGUUUGAGUCUGAACAUCAACAAUUUGUGGCGAUGUAUAGCUGUACCAUGCACUGUGGAGGUGUGUUGUUUCAAAUUUAUCUUAAAUUCCUAGGCAUGUUUUUCUAGGGGACUACCACAGUUCUCUUGAAAUUGUGGUAAGAAAACUAAUGACACUGAAACAUACAAUUUUCAGAUUUUUCAUGGGAGACUCACUGAAGCAGAUGCACACAGAUACUUUCAGUAGCUUAUCGACGGUGUUGAUUUUUGUCACAAGAAAAGGAGUCUACCAUUGAGACUUAAAGGAUGCUUAGUGGGUCAACUGUAGGGAUCUUUCCUUCUACAUACGACCUAUGGGACUCGCUUUUUGGUAAGUCAAUUAUCUGUUAAUUCUUCUAUUUCUGAAUCCUAAAGAAAAAU